Molecule: ribosomal RNA, 252 nt
Filed under: uncultured bacterium
Lineage: Bacteria
Description: partial 16S ribosomal RNA
Rfam family: Bacterial small subunit ribosomal RNA
Source: RNAcentral
UACGUAGGAUGCGAGCGUUAUCCGGAUUUAUUGGGUUUAAAGGGUGCGUAGGCGGGCUUUUAAGUCAGCGGUAAAAAUUCGGGGCUCAACCCCGUCCGGCCGUUGAAACUGGGGGCCCUGAGUGGGCGAGAAGAAGGCGGAAUGCGUGGUGUAGCGGUGAAAUGCAUAGAUAUCACGCAGAACCCCGAUUGCGAAGGCAGCCUUCCGGCGCCCUACUGACGCUGAGGCACGAAAGUGCGGGGAUCGAACAGG